This 295-nucleotide ribosomal RNA is filed under the name uncultured prokaryote. RNAcentral's name for it is "partial 16S ribosomal RNA". It matches the Rfam family "Bacterial small subunit ribosomal RNA", at positions 355 to 664 of the family's 1533-position model. The record is from RNAcentral.
UGGGGAAUAUUGGGCAAUGGGCGAAAGCCUGACCCAGCAACGCCGCGUGAGGGAAGAAGGUUUUCGGCUUGUAAACCUCUGUCCUUGGUGACGAACACAAUGACGGUAGCCAAGGAGGAAGCCCCGGCUAACUCCGUGCCAGCAGCCGCGGUAAUACGUAGGGGGCAAGCGUUGUCCGGAAUGACUGGGCGUAAAGGGCGUGUAGGCGGCCGAUUAAGUCUGGAGUGGAAGUCCUGCUUUCAAGGUGGGAAUUGCUUUGGAGACUGGUUGGCGUGAGUGCGGAAGAGGCAAGUGG